RNAcentral lists this ribosomal RNA (490 nucleotides) under uncultured bacterium. RNAcentral describes it as "partial 16S ribosomal RNA". It matches the Rfam family "Bacterial small subunit ribosomal RNA", at positions 28 to 507 of the family's 1533-position model. The record is from RNAcentral.
GAUGAACGCUAGCUACAGGCUUAACACAUGCAAGUCGCGGGGCAGCAUGGGGGUUGCUUGCCAUCCCUGAUGGCGACCGGCGCACGGGUGAGUAACGCGUAUCCAACCUGCCCUUCACCACGGGAUAACCCGGCGAAAGUCGGACUAAUACCGUAUGUUGUCCAUUGACGGCAUCCGAUUUGGACGAAAGGCUUAGCGGUGAGGGAUGGGGAUGCGUCCGAUUAGCUUGACGGCGGGGUAACGGCCCACCGUGGCUACGAUCGGUAGGGGUUCUGAGAGGAAGGUCCCCCACACUGGAACUGAGACACGGUCCAGACUCCUACGGGAGGCAGCAGUGAGGAAGAUUGGUCAAUGGGCGUAAGCCUGAACCAGCCAAGUAGCGUGCAGGAGGACGGCCCUAUGGGUUGUAAACUGCUUUUAGGCGGGGAUAAAGGGACCCACGUGUGGGUUUUUGCAGGUACCGCAUGAAUAAGGACCGGCUAAUUCCGUG